CAACUCCCUCUCAUCCUUUCGAAUAAUUUGAUCUUGUGCUAGCCUCCGCCGGUUCUUCUGCACGAAUCAAAUCAUCAACUCCUGCAACGACCACGAAACGCCGAUGAAUUUCACGAGCUGACGCCGCAGGUGCCAAAAGAGGCAAAUAGGAUGUCUAAUAUCUCACUGACAUCAUCUUGUCUCUCCCCUGCGGAUUUAGUUGGUGUACCUCAAUGCAUAGCUAGCUGCUGUUUGCAGCUGUAUUCUUUCAACGUCGCAUCAUGACUUCAGACUAGCUUGGGAUCUGGAUUUUGGCUCGCAAACGACCCUUGAAGAGGAG
Molecule: small RNA, 319 nt
Filed under: Histoplasma ohiense
Lineage: Eukaryota; Fungi; Ascomycota; Eurotiomycetes; Onygenales; Ajellomycetaceae
Description: hypothetical lncRNA
Source: RNAcentral